UGGUUUCGUGGAUCAGGGGUAUUCCGGUACUCUCACUUUCGAACUAUGCAACCUUGGUUCAAUACCGAUAAAACUAU
Molecule: transfer RNA, 77 nt
Filed under: subsurface metagenome
Description: tRNA-Glu
Source: RNAcentral